GCCCUUCCCCUCCUGCAGACUGCGCAACCGCCACAUGCCCCGGGACACCAUGCCGGCAUUGUGAGCAGACUAAUCGCCACAUACCACUCGGUUUUCCUUCCUGGACUGCAUCACAGGCCCGGAGCCCUGCGGUUCCCACAUUGUUUCUGUCAUCAUCCCAAGAAGCAUAACUCUUGAGGCUGCGUCUGAGCGGGACAGCCUGUCUCAGCACGAGCUUGGACUCUUAUGUAAGUGGCUGUGGGGAGAACUGGCAGUAAACAAACAUUUUUCCAGCCAUUGUUUUCUUUGCUGUCUUGAAAUUUUUUUUUUUCCCCCUCUGGGGCCACUGCAGCUCUUCUGCCCCCAGGAUAGCAGAUUCCCAGCUUAGAAAUGCCUUGCGCGGCAUUUCCAGAUUCUAAAAUCAGAACGGAGUGAACCACAGUGUGCAAAGAAAUGCCUGAGCAUGGGAACAUGUAGAUGGCUUUGUCUGCAAGGGUAUUUGAAGCAGCGUGUCAGCAAGCUUGUCCACUCAGCUGUGCUGCUGAUAGCUGUUUGGUCUGGGAUUUGACCCCAAACAUCACGAUCCGAGAAGUAGGCCAUUUACAGACCAGUUCUGAGGAUGCUCAAUCCACAGAAGUCCUGUUUAUUUCUACCAGCUUCCAUUUCCAAGGACAAACUGAAUUUGGCCAUCUAUACGCUGCCUAAACUUUGCAUUUAAGGAGCUCUGAAGAGAAGCAGAAUAUUAACGUUAAAAUGAGAUUGUAUCGGUUGCAUAAUGAAUGUAGGAUAAAGAUGCCAGGCUGGCUCCCUGGAGGUAAAUCAACCCCCUAAAAGCUGCUACCUGAGUGGCACUGAGUAAUUAAACUGCAAACUGCACUGGAACAGGUUUCAAGUGGGACUGAGGAAGUAGUCGUAAACUAAAUGACUUCUGCAUCAUCAGGGGAUUAGUUUUUGUUUUGUUUUGCUUUGUUUUGUUUGUAAACCUCCACUUGAAAGCUGUCUUCUCUCUGCCAAAAGUUAGGGUGGUUCAGAGAACUCAUCUCCUGAUGUACAGAGAAACUGCCGGAGGCGAUUCUGAAGGGCAUCUUCUGGGAGCCAGUUUCGAAGAGCAUGAUUGGAUUAUAAAGAUGAUGAUAGCUAACAUUAAAAAUAUUCUUACUAUAUACAUGCAAGAACUGUGCUAACUGAAUAAAAG
Molecule: long non-coding RNA, 1174 nt
Filed under: Bos indicus x Bos taurus (hybrid cattle)
Lineage: Eukaryota; Metazoa; Chordata; Mammalia; Artiodactyla; Bovidae
Description: lncRNA (ENSBIXG00000008736.1)
Source: RNAcentral